RNAcentral lists this ribosomal RNA (165 nucleotides) under uncultured bacterium. Its description in RNAcentral is "partial 16S rRNA". It matches the Rfam family "Bacterial small subunit ribosomal RNA", at positions 355 to 511 of the family's 1533-position model. The record is from RNAcentral.
UAGGGAAGUCUUCCACAAUGGACGCAAGUCUGAUGGAGCAACGCCGCGUGAGUGAAGAAGGUCUUCGGAUCGUAAAACUCUGUUGUUAGAGAAGAACACGAGUGAGAGUAACUGUUCAUUCGAUGACGGUAUCUAACCAGCAAGUCACGGCUAACUACGGGCCAG